This 492-nucleotide ribosomal RNA is filed under the name uncultured bacterium. RNAcentral describes it as "partial 16S ribosomal RNA". It matches the Rfam family "Bacterial small subunit ribosomal RNA", at positions 29 to 507 of the family's 1533-position model. The record is from RNAcentral.
AGUGAACGCUGGCGGUAGGCUUAACACAUGCAAGUCGAACGGCAGCACAGUAAGAGCUUGCUCUUACGGGUGGCGAGUGGCGGACGGGCGAGGAAUACAUCGGAAUCUACUUUUUCGUGGGGGAUAACGCAGGGAAACUUACGCGAAUACCGCAUACGACCUACGGGUGAAAGCAGGGGAUCUUCGGACCUUGCGCGAGUGAAUCAGCCGAUGUCGGAUUUGCUAGUUGGCGGGGUAAAGGCCCACCAAGGCGAGGAUCCGUAGCUGGUAUGAGAGGAUGAUGUGCCACACUGGAGCGGGGACACGGUCCCGACGCCUACGAGAGGCAGCAGUGGGGAAUAUUGGACAAUGGGCUGAAGCCUGAUCCAGCCAUACCGCGUGGGUGAAGAAGGCCUUCGGGUUGUAAAGCCCUUUUGUUGGGAAAGAAAAGCAGCAGGUUAAUACCCCGCUGUUCUGACGGUACCCAAAGAAUAAGCACCGGCUAACUUCGUG